Molecule: ribosomal RNA, 468 nt
Filed under: uncultured bacterium
Lineage: Bacteria
Description: partial 16S ribosomal RNA
Rfam family: Bacterial small subunit ribosomal RNA
Source: RNAcentral
GACGAACGCUGGCGGCGCGCUUAACACAUGCAAGUCGAACGGAAAGGCCCUGCUUUUGUGGGGUGCUCGAGUGGCGAACGGGUGAGUAACACGUGAGUAACCUGCCCUUGACUGUGGGAUAACUUCAGGAAACUGGGGCUAAUACCGGAUAGGAGCUCCUGCUGCAUGGUGGGGGUUGGAAAGUUUCGGCGGGUGGGGAUGGACUCGCGGCUUAUCAGCUUGUUGGGGAGGUGGUGGCUUAACAAGGCUUUGACGGGUAGCCGGCCUGAGAGGGUGAGCCGCCUCAUUGCGACUGCCACACCUCCCAGACUCCUACGGCAGCCAGCAGUGGAUGAUAUUUCGCAUAGUGCGCAAGCCCGUUGCAACAUCGCGCCGCGCUGGCUGACGGCCAUCGGGUUGUAAACCGCUUUCGCCUGUGACGAAGCUUGCGUCCCGGUAAUGGGUAUAAAGCCCCCGGCUAACUACGUG